RNAcentral lists this long non-coding RNA (612 nucleotides) under Homo sapiens (human). RNAcentral describes it as "non-protein coding lnc-LRRC61-2:1". The record is from RNAcentral. Lineage: Eukaryota; Metazoa; Chordata; Mammalia; Primates; Hominidae.
UCCCUCCCUUCCAUAACCUGUCUUGCCACUAUCUGAGCCCCCAUAUUUGUAUAAACUCAAGAUGGUGGAUAAGCUUCUGUAUCCCACUGAGGGGUUGGGGUAAUCACUUUGUGGUUCUCUCUCAUGUAUGUUAAUAAAUAUUUCCUGUUAAAGCCGAGGCAGGAGGAUUGCUUGAGCCCAGGAGUUCAAAGGUGCAGUGAGCUCUGAUCAUGAAACUGUACUUCAGCCUCUCUGGACAGAGCAAGACCUUGUCUCUAAAAUAUAAAUGAAUCAAUUUAUUCUAUUAAUCUGCCUUUCAUCAGUUGAUUUUUCAGCAAACCUUCAGAAGGCAAAGGGGAAGUUUUCCUUUGGCCCCCACAGACCCAUGCUGGGGGACGUCCUGAGGAUGGGUGAGGAGAGAAAUCUUCCAGGACAAGAAAGUGAAGGCAACCCAGUUAGGAGGCAUCUGGGACUUUCCUGGCCAACUCUGAAGACAUCAAGUUGAACCAUGACCCGGAUUCGGUCUUGGAAGCAGAUGAGAGGGUAAAGAGUUGAAGCCAGGUCUACACUCUGAUUCCUCCAAGUCACCGAGUGGUUUCAUGUGAAAGGGGUCUGGGCAGGAGUGAGCCGAGG